Copidosoma floridanum is the source of this 839-nucleotide long non-coding RNA. Lineage: Eukaryota; Metazoa; Arthropoda; Insecta; Hymenoptera; Encyrtidae. The record is from RefSeq and is a predicted model, not a curated record.
GUAUAUAUAUACGUAGCUGUAAAAGUUCAAGAGGUUUCGUCAUGCUCUUUAAGGAGUGGUUAAGUGCUCUGUGUUGUCUGUUCUGUCAUUCCUGUCUCCUGUACCGGUGCUGAUAACUGAGAUACCAAGAGCCAAGCCAACGUUAUUGCUGGUACUCAUAAGUACUGACCAAUGGCUUGACCUUAACUUCUCUUCAACCAACUGUGGCCUUUUUCACCAAGUCAAACGAUGAGGUGAGCAAAGAUACUACUGUUAGUGCUAGCAGUUUGACAAGUAGCUGCUAAGCAGAUCUGACAAGUAAACUGCAUAUUUCAGUUAUAAGCCCAACAGUGUUUGGACUUUAACGUGGGAUUGCUGACAAAUGAGUAAUUCCCACAAGUUUCCAAUCAUAAAGUUGUGAUUUACUUUUCCUGCAAUCAAAUCAACCAAAACAAAAAAAAAACUUAUCAAAAAGCAAGAGGUUAAAAUUUGGUUAUAUCAAUCACAAUUUUGGAGGAUAAUAAGAAAAAUCAAGGGCUGAUGAAGUUUGAAAAGAAAAUGUACCUGAAUCUCUGAAAUCAUCGAAUGGCUGUGAAUUCCAGUUGCUCCAGAGGCUGUAGUAAAGAGUUUUUUAAUAAUUAUUGUUCACAAUAGAGGUACAGAGAAAAGUCACUCAACGCUCUCAUAAAAACUUGGUGCCAUGUGAUGCUAAUCACACAGUUAAUAAUAAAAAUGAAGUUCAGACUUGCUCAAAGUUAACAAGUGCGCAGCUCAUCAUAUUCCAAACAUAUAGUACAGUUGUGGCAGAUGGUCUUUACAAUUAUUCAAAUGAAGUAAAUUAUGAAGGUUAAGAAAUUUCA